GACGUAGGGGGCAAGCGUUGUCCGGAUUUACUGGGCGUAAAGAGCGCGUAGGCGGUCUGUUAAGUGUAGAGUGAAAGCUCCGGGCUCAACCCGGAAACCGCUCUGCAUACUGGCAGACUGGAGGGACGCAGAGGUCUGUGGAAUUCCUGGUGUAACGGUGAAAUGUGUUGAUAUCAGGAGGAACACCCAUGGCGAAGGCAGCAGACUGGGCGUUUCCUGACGCUGAGGCGCGAAAGCGUGGGUAGCAAACAGG
This 253-nucleotide ribosomal RNA is filed under the name uncultured bacterium. Its description in RNAcentral is "partial 16S ribosomal RNA". It matches the Rfam family "Bacterial small subunit ribosomal RNA", at positions 524 to 776 of the family's 1533-position model. The record is from RNAcentral.